Camelina sativa (false flax) is the source of this 753-nucleotide long non-coding RNA. RefSeq lists it as uncharacterized. The record is from RefSeq and is a predicted model, not a curated record. Lineage: Eukaryota; Viridiplantae; Streptophyta; Magnoliopsida; Brassicales; Brassicaceae.
GAUUUAUCGAUGGGGAUAUAAUUGAAUUGUAAGGUUUUUGUUGAUUUUUGUGUGUGAAGUGAUUCAUCGGUGGGGAUAGAACUGAAUUGUAAGGUUUUUUUUAUGAUUUGUGUGUGUGUAGUUUUACUUCAAAGCCCUUUUUCCUUUAGAACUUUAUACAUACACAUUGACGGGUGUCGCCGCAAAACCUCUACUUUUGCUCCAGCAAAACCCUAAUCAGCUUCUCCGUCUCCAAAAAAAAUUCAGAACCAAGAAACAGUUCUCUGAGGGAUUUGAACGACGAUGUAUCUUCAGUGCUAUAUCAACGAGAAGGGUGAGAAGGUUUACACCACUAAGAUUCUGGGAAAAAAAAAACAAGGAGAAGCUGAAUCACAGAGAUCGGAGAAAACUGAAUCAGAGGUACCAAUGGAGAAGAUCAAUAGUGUUAACGAGUCAGAGAAUAUUGAUAGAGAUGAAGUAGAACUAACGUUUCUACAGCGGCCGGUGUUUACAAGGAGCAAAUCGGAGCCGACGAGUAUUGGGCGAGAAGAAUGUGGUGUUGCUUCCAAAUAAAGAAGAGGGUAAAGUUUAGUUCUCUCUCUCACGUGAUUGACUUUUUAGUCAAUUUCACUAAUUAAAAAUAAUGGUCUUUAACCGACAUUGUUACUUUUUUAGGAUUAAAUUGACUGUGCUUAGAAGAUAUAGAGGAAAACAAAUUGUAAUUGUAUAGUAAGAUUUGUAAUCCAACCACACAUAUAACGUAAUGUUUAUGUA